AAACUAGCCAAUAAGUCUGCUUACCUGAACAUGUUUCUUCAGAAAUUCAGAGAAAGCUGACAAUAGUAAAACCAUGCUAUGAGCCUUAAGGACACUGAAGUCAUUAAAGUCCCUGAAAAUAACUAUAAGA
This is a small nucleolar RNA of Phyllostomus discolor (pale spear-nosed bat), 130 nucleotides long. RefSeq annotates it as small nucleolar RNA SNORA33. The transcript has a single exon. The record is from RefSeq and is a predicted model, not a curated record. Lineage: Eukaryota; Metazoa; Chordata; Mammalia; Chiroptera; Phyllostomidae.